AACCAGGAAAUGUGGAAUGUGUACUUGUGUAGUCAUGCUCUAGUUCAUUGAAUGUGUGGUUGCCAGACAAAUCAGUUACGGUGGUAAUCGAGAUUCGAGAUAGCAAGUUCUUCUUCACAAUGAAUAGGUUUCAAUGAAUAGGUUUCAAUCUAAGUCAAUGGCGACCAUGAUGAUCAUUGUGCUUGUUCUUCUUCACAAUUGUCCAGCAAGUUCGCGCUCCAUAGUAAAUCCUACAUCAGCUAUUCUUGUUAUACAUAUUGUUUAAC
RNAcentral lists this long non-coding RNA (266 nucleotides) under Aquilegia coerulea. RNAcentral's name for it is "long non-coding RNA (ACOE_LNC001020)". Lineage: Eukaryota; Viridiplantae; Streptophyta; Magnoliopsida; Ranunculales; Ranunculaceae. The record is from RNAcentral.